RNAcentral lists this ribosomal RNA (389 nucleotides) under uncultured bacterium. RNAcentral's name for it is "bacterial SSU rRNA". It matches the Rfam family "Bacterial small subunit ribosomal RNA", at positions 28 to 417 of the family's 1533-position model. The record is from RNAcentral.
GACGAACGCUGGCGGCGUGCUUAACACAUGCAAGUCGAGCGGUAAGGCCCUUUCGGGGGUACACGAGCGGCGAACGGGUGAGUAACACGUGGGUGACCUGCCCUUAGCUCUGGGAUAAGCCUGGGAAACUGGGUCUAAUACCGGAUAUGACUCCAUGACGCAUGUUGUGGGGUGGAAAGCCUUGUGCGGCUAGGGAUGGGCCCGCGGCCUAUCAGCUUGUUGGUGGGGUGAUGGCCUACCAAGGCGACGACGGGUAGCCGGCCUGAGAGGGCGACCGGCCACACUGGGGACUGAGACACGGCCCAGACUCCUACGGGAGGCAGCAGUGGGGAAGUCUUGCGCAAUGGGCGAAAGCCUGACGCAGCGACGCCGCGUGGGGAUGACGGCCU